Long non-coding RNA from Etheostoma cragini (Arkansas darter), 567 nucleotides. RefSeq lists it as uncharacterized. The record is from RefSeq and is a predicted model, not a curated record. Lineage: Eukaryota; Metazoa; Chordata; Actinopteri; Perciformes; Percidae. The transcript is spliced from 3 exons.
UGAGGUUGAUGUUGAUGUUGAGGUUGAGGUUGAGGUUGAGGCUGAGGCUGAGGUUGAUGUUGAGGUUGAGGUUGAGGUUGAGGCUGAGGUUGAUGUUGAGGUUGAGGUUGAGGUUGAGGCUGAGGCUGAGGUUGAGGUUGAUGUUGAGGUUGAGGUUGAGGCUGCAGCCGUGGAGUCAGGUUGAAACGCUGCUGCUAACAAGAAGGAUAAAGAAGGAUUUACCUGGUAUUCACUUCUCAGCCAUAAUGUAUUACAGGACAGCUUUUCAAAUUCUCUCCCUGUGCAUUCCAGAGGAAGGAAAAAACCAGAUAUACUGUAUAAUAUUUCAACACUAACAUGGUGGAUACACAUUCAGAAGGCAUCUUUACAUGCUUCACUUUCUUUGUCAGAACACAUUGCAGUAUAUCUGUGCACUACAAAACAUCAUAAUGACAUGUCAUCAAGCUUGGAUGGAAGUAUUUAACACUCUCUAUGAGCUCCAGAAACACUACAGUUGUGAAGGUCAUACCUGUGGUUUAGUACAAUUCAACCCUUUACACUUGGUAAAACUGUUAAGUAAGUCACACU